CUACGGGUGGCAGCAGUGGGGAAUAUUGCACAAUGGGCGCAAGCCUGAUGCAGCCAUGCCGCGUGUAUGAAGAAGGCCUUCGGGUUGUAAAGUACUUUCAGCGGGGAGGAAGGGAGUAAAGUUAAUACCUUUGCUCAUUGACGUUACCCGCAGAAGAAGCACCGGCUAACUCCGUGCCAGCAGCCGCGGUAAUACGGAGGGGUGCAAGCGUUAAUCGAAAUUACUGGGCGUAAAGCGCACGCAGGCGGUUUGUUAAGUCAGAUGUGAAAUCCCCGGGCUCAACCUGGGAACUGCAUCUGAUACUGGCAAGCUUGAGUCUCGUAGAGGGGGGUAGAAUUCCAGGUGUAGCGGUGAAAUGCGUAGAGUUCCGUUGGAAUACUGGUUCCGAAGGCGGCCCCCUGGACGAAGACUGACGCUCAGGUGCGAAAGCGUGGGGAGCAAACAGGAUUAGAUACCCCCGUAGUC
This 465-nucleotide ribosomal RNA is filed under the name uncultured bacterium. RNAcentral describes it as "partial 16S ribosomal RNA". It matches the Rfam family "Bacterial small subunit ribosomal RNA", at positions 339 to 795 of the family's 1533-position model. The record is from RNAcentral.